This 261-nucleotide ribosomal RNA is filed under the name uncultured prokaryote. Its description in RNAcentral is "partial 16S ribosomal RNA". It matches the Rfam family "Bacterial small subunit ribosomal RNA", at positions 524 to 784 of the family's 1533-position model. The record is from RNAcentral.
UACGGAGGAUGCGAGCGUUAUCCGGAUUUAUUGGGUUUAAAAGGGUGCGUAGGCUGGUUAAUUAAGUCAGUGGUGAAAUACUCCGGCUCAACCGGGGGCUGCCGUUGAUACUGGUUACCUGAGUUUAGAUGAUGUGGGCGGAAUGUGUAAUGUAGCGGUGAAAUGCUUAGAUAUUACACAGAACACCGAUUGCGAAGGCAGCUUGCUGGGUCAUUACUGACGCUGAUGCACGAAAGCGUGGGGAUCAAACAGGAUUAGAUA